This 972-nucleotide ribosomal RNA is filed under the name uncultured bacterium. RNAcentral's name for it is "bacterial SSU rRNA". It matches the Rfam family "Bacterial small subunit ribosomal RNA", at positions 151 to 1135 of the family's 1533-position model. The record is from RNAcentral.
UGGAAACGGCGUCUAAUACUGGAUAUGUCCCGUCACCGCAUGGUGUGCGGGUGGAAAGAUUUUUCGGUUGGGGAUGGGCUCGCGGCCUAUCAGCUUGUUGGUGAGGUAAUGGCUCACCAAGGCGUCGACGGGUAGCCGGCCUGAGAGGGUGACCGGCCACACUGGGACUGAGACACGGCCCAGACUCCUACGGGAGGCAGCAGUGGGGAAUAUUGCACAAUGGGCGGAAGCCUGAUGCAGCAACGCCGCGUGAGGGAUGACGGCCUUCGGGUUGUAAACCUCUUUUAGCAGGGAAGAAGCGAAAGUGACGGUACCUGCAGAAAAAGCACCGGCUAACUACGUGCCAGCAGCCGCGGUAAUACGUAGGGUGCAAGCGUUAUCCGGAAUUAUUGGGCGUAAAGAGCUCGUAGGCGGUCUGUCGCGUCUGCUGUGAAAUCCCGAGGCUCAACCUCGGGCUUGCAGUGGGUACGGGCAGACUAGAGUGCGGUAGGGGAGAUUGGAAUUCCUGGUGUAGCGGUGGAAUGCGCAGAUAUCAGGAGGAACACCGAUGGCGAAGGCAGAUCUCUGGGCCGUAACUGACGCUGAGGAGCGAAAGGGUGGGGAGCAAACAGGCUUAGAUACCCUGGUAGUCCACCCCGUAAACGUUGGGAACUAGUUGUGGGGUCCUUUCCACGGAUUCCGUGACGCAGCUAACGCAUUAAGUUCCCCGCCUGGGGAGUACGGCCGCAAGGCUAAAACUCAAAGGAAUUGACGGGGACCCGCACAAGCGGCGGAGCAUGCGGAUUAAUUCGAUGCAACGCGAAGAACCUUACCAAGGCUUGACAUACACGAGAACGGGCCAGAAAUGGUCAACUCUUUGGACACUCGUGAACAGGUGGUGCAUGGUUGUCGUCAGCUCGUGUCGUGAGAUGUUGGGUUAAGUCCCGCAACGAGCGCAACCCUCGUUCUAUGUUGCCAGCACGUAAUGGUGGG